AACGAACGCUGGCGGCGUGGAUAAGACAUGCAAGUCGAACGCUGACAUUCAGGUAGCAAUAUUUGGAUGUUGGAGUGGCGCAAGGGUGUGUAACACGUGGGUAAUCUGCCAUAAAGCCUGGGAUAACUCGCUGAAAGGCGAGCUAAUACCGGAUGUGAACGCAAGUUCAAAGCUGGGGAUCGUAAGACCUGGCACUUUAUGAUGAGCCCGCGGCCAUCAGCUAGUUGGUGAGGUAACGGCUCACCAAGGCUAAGACGGGUAGCUGGUCUGAGAGGACGACCAGCCACACUGGAACUGAGACAC
This 303-nucleotide ribosomal RNA is filed under the name uncultured bacterium. Its description in RNAcentral is "bacterial SSU rRNA". It matches the Rfam family "Bacterial small subunit ribosomal RNA", at positions 29 to 327 of the family's 1533-position model. The record is from RNAcentral.